RNAcentral lists this ribosomal RNA (740 nucleotides) under Pseudomonas cuatrocienegasensis. Its description in RNAcentral is "bacterial SSU rRNA". It matches the Rfam family "Bacterial small subunit ribosomal RNA", at positions 73 to 809 of the family's 1533-position model. The record is from RNAcentral. Lineage: Bacteria; Pseudomonadati; Pseudomonadota; Gammaproteobacteria; Pseudomonadales; Pseudomonadaceae.
GAGGAGCUUGCUUCUCUUGAGAGCGGCGGACGGGUGAGUAAUGCCUAGGAAUCUGCCUAGUGGUGGGGGAUAACGUUCGGAAACGGACGCUAAUACCGCAUACGUCCUACGGGAGAAAGCGGGGGACCUUCGGGCCUCGCGCCAUUAGAUGAGCCUAGGUCGGAUUAGCUAGUUGGUGAGGUAAAGGCUCACCAAGGCGACGAUCCGUAACUGGUCUGAGAGGAUGAUCAGUCACACUGGAACUGAGACACGGUCCAGACUCCUACGGGAGGCAGCAGUGGGGAAUAUUGGACAAUGGGGGAAACCCUGAUCCAGCCAUGCCGCGUGUGUGAAGAAGGUCUUCGGAUUGUAAAGCACUUUAAGUUGGGAGGAAGGGUAGUAACUUAAUACGUUGCUACUUUGACGUUACCGACAGAAUAAGCACCGGCUAACUCUGUGCCAGCAGCCGCGGUAAUACAGAGGGUGCAAGCGUUAAUCGGAAUUACUGGGCGUAAAGCGCGCGUAGGUGGUUUGUUAAGUUGGAUGUGAAAGCCCCGGGCUCAACCUGGGAACUGCAUCCAAAACUGGCAAGCUAGAGUACGGUAGAGGGUGGUGGAAUUUCCUGUGUAGCGGUGAAAUGCGUAGAUAUAGGAAGGAACACCAGUGGCGAAGGCGACCACCUGGACUGAUACUGACACUGAGGUGCGAAAGCGUGGGGAGCAAACAGGAUUAGAUACCCUGGUAGUCCACGCCGUAAACGA